Molecule: ribosomal RNA, 557 nt
Filed under: Alternaria sp. N16
Lineage: Eukaryota; Fungi; Ascomycota; Dothideomycetes; Pleosporales; Pleosporaceae
Also listed under: 1 other name
Description: eukaryotic LSU rRNA
Rfam family: 5.8S ribosomal RNA (bases 193-346)
Source: RNAcentral
CGUAGGUGACCUGCGGAGGGAUCAUUACACAAAUAUGAAGGCGGGCUGGAACCUCUCGGGGUUACAGCCUUGCUGAAUUAUUCACCCUUGUCUUUUGCGUACUUCUUGUUUCCUUGGUGGGUUCGCCCACCACUAGGACAAACAUAAACCUUUUGUAAUUGCAAUCAGCGUCAGUAACAAAUUAAUAAUUACAACUUUCAACAACGGAUCUCUUGGUUCUGGCAUCGAUGAAGAACGCAGCGAAAUGCGAUAAGUAGUGUGAAUUGCAGAAUUCAGUGAAUCAUCGAAUCUUUGAACGCACAUUGCGCCCUUUGGUAUUCCAAAGGGCAUGCCUGUUCGAGCGUCAUUUGUACCCUCAAGCUUUGCUUGGUGUUGGGCGUCUUGUCUCUAGCUUUGCUGGAGACUCGCCUUAAAGUAAUUGGCAGCCGGCCUACUGGUUUCGGAGCGCAGCACAAGUCGCACUCUCUAUCAGCAAAGGUCUAGCAUCCAUUAAGCCUUUUUUUCAACUUUUGACCUCGGAUCAGGUAGGGAUACCCGCUGAACUUAAGCAUAUCAUA